UUUUGUACAUCAUUCCUUAGAUGUCCUUUAUAGACCUUCUUUCUGGAAUGAAUGGAUCAAGAAACUUUAAAAUGGAUAAAGUGACAGAUACCAGAUAUAUCAGUGUGUCAGUAGAUAAUGUGGGUAUGGAGAGAAAUGAAAAUAUAUCAUUAGCUAUUCAUUCUGCAUGUUACCUCUCAGUGGAUGUAUUCAGAACAUUUGUUUCUAGCCCCUUAGUUCUGUGAUAACCAUGUGGAUUAUGGAUGGUUUUUUAACUCUUACUUUGUCUUUACUGUUAAUAUGUUGCCUGAAUUUGCCAGGUAUAUAAUUAAUUAAGGAAUCAUCCACCCUAUGAGCAUUUGUUGAAUUUAUCACACUCAUUAUUUGGAAGAUAUGCUGCUGCAUUAGAGAAUUAACUUUGUAAUUAACUCCCUGUGAACUUGACUAUACUUUGCUUAAAAUGACUAACUUUUAUGUGUGUCACUGUUGAGCAUGUUUCUAUAUUGUCAUAUGGACACAUAAGUAUGAGUUCUCUGGAAUCUGAUCUAUUACGUAAACUGCAUGUUGGGCCAAUAGUGUAUUCUUGUUUUAUUUCAAGUACUAAUAACUGUUUCUAAUUUUGGUCAGGCAAAUGCCAUUAUAACAAUUACACCUGUUAAAGCAUUUAUUCCUUAAAUCCUAUAAUGAGAACUAACAAAUCUAUUCAUUUUGCAUGAAGUUGUGAUUGAAUUAUGCUGUUUGACUAUGAUUAAUAAUAAUAAACCUUUUGUUCUUUUUUCAGGUCAUUUGAGGAGAAAUGCUAAUGGAAAGCCUAUCCAACCUACUCUUCAAAUGAAAGAUUCUUUCACAAACCAAGAAGUAGGAAAAGGAGAUACUUUGAAAUGGGAUUCUACAAGUACUUUUCAGAUAAAGGAAAGUCACAAAAGUUCCAUCGAUAUGAAGUUGCAAAGUGAUUUUCCUGGCAAAUCACUGCCACGGAGUCAAAAUCAAUUACCAUCCAAAAAAUUUGA
Molecule: long non-coding RNA, 989 nt
Organism: Sarcophilus harrisii (Tasmanian devil)
Lineage: Eukaryota; Metazoa; Chordata; Mammalia; Dasyuromorphia; Dasyuridae
Exons: 3
Source: RefSeq, a predicted model, not a curated record